UACGUAGGGUGCGAGCGUUGUCCGGAAUUACUGGGCGUAAAGAGCUCGUAGGUGGUUUGUCGCGUUGUUCGUGAAAACCGGGGGCUUAACCCUCGGCGUGCGGGCGAUACGGGCAGACUGGAGUACUGCAGGGGAGACUGGAAUUCCUGGUGUAGCGGUGGAAUGCGCAGAUAUCAGGAGGAACACCGGUGGCGAAGGCGGGUCUCUGGGCCGUUACUGACGCUGAGGAGCGAAAGCGUGGGGAGCGAACAGG
Molecule: ribosomal RNA, 253 nt
Filed under: uncultured bacterium
Lineage: Bacteria
Description: partial 16S ribosomal RNA
Rfam family: Bacterial small subunit ribosomal RNA
Source: RNAcentral